UCUAGUGUUUUCAUAUUCCUGCAUGCAGUUGCAUUGGUGGCAUUUCCGCACAGCUAGGAUCAGCGCCUACGAGGCGCUAGCAGCGCUUGUGUAAGCCGGAGCACGCUACAGACCAGGGUAUUCCUUCGUACAAGCGUGCUCAUGCGCGCCGCGGAAAUGUAGUUCGCCUGUGUCUGUGUGGCGGCUUCGCGCUUCACUACGCCUGUGUGAGCCUCACGCACCUUUUGCAGCAGACUCCGUUGUCUUCUGUCUCUGUGUUGAUGUUAUUAUGCAGGUUGUGCAUUUAUUAUUGUGUGUGUGUGUGUCUGCACGUAUGCUUUUCUGUCGUUCUAUAUUCCGGUAAUUCCUUGGGUAGUUUCUCUGCUGUUAACGUAAUGGUGCAACUCAUUAGGUGCGCCAAAUAAGCAACACUACUAACUCACGUUUGUGUUGAAAAUCUUUGAGCAUACAGUGGAGAUAAGUUUACAAUAAACUUGCUUCAAACACACUUUACGUAGCUGAUCAAAAUUCUUCGAGGAUGACACUGCCAGAAGAGUGUGUACCAACUUGUCCAACCUCCUGUUUACUCUGCCAUCAAGGAAAAAGUACUUCAGCACACGGUGAAAUGACUCCACCUUCAUAUUUGUGUUGACAUCAGACCCUGUACGGAAGGCAUGUGCCCAUUCUUCUGACCUCUUAGAUGUGCAGGCUCCCUGAUGCAUUUCGUGUGAAAAGAGCUGAACCACCCUGCAGGGUAUCUUCACAGAGUGCUUCACUGGUCUUGGACUCUCCUGCUUCUUUCAACAACUGAUAGUCAUGCACCCAUGACUAAGGCUGAAUAAUAAGGUGUUUUCCCCAGUCUCAGGGUUUGUUAUGAAGAUCAAUUAUCACCAGCUCGCCUGCUUUCUCACCACUCUUUACAAUAAGGUGUAUAAGCUUUAAACUUUCAGCAGACUUCGGCCAAAGUUACUACUGUCAUAUUGGCAGUGUGGGAAUGGGCACUGUGAUGGAGAAGAGUAAUUUCUCUAGGGAACACCUCUGACCUUUUUUGCAGAAAGUACGUACAGGCUUACCCUCAUGUCUGCAAUAAUGCUGGACAUUAAUCAAAACUCUUUCUUACAACAAUCUGUGUGGAUAACACGGCCUGCAUCGAAGGGCAAUACCUCCAGCCUCAUCACAAGAGAGCACGAGGCAGGGGUGGCACCUUGCGUCGCCAUGCUAUGGAGCUUCCUUUUAUUUAAACGAAUACUCAUUCCCGUGACGUUCUCCCACAGCAACAGAUACCACUCGACGCCAUGACAGCUGCAAGUGCACAAAGUACACAUCGCACACUCAAGAAGGACUGCAUUAUGUUUGCCCAAAGUUUCAUUGUGCAGCACUUAUUUGCUUUCUUAUGCACAGAAGUCUCAAUCAGCCUUGCGCUAUUGUAUCAACCUUGUACUAUUUUGGGAUACAAAAUCCUGCAGCAGCUCUGGAGGUUUGAGAUGGUAUAAAUCAGGACUUGUCAAUAUCAGACAAGUAUGUUGCAAGUGGAACAUUGUAUGGUGGGUGUGGUACCCUGUACUGUAUCUAAAUGCCAUGGAUUUGGGACAGUAAUAUCCUCGGGUACCAUUUCAAGGCACUAGUCCUGCACAGAGUGGCACAGGGGAGGGAUAUAAAUUUGUUGAAGCGGGAAGGACAGCGUGGCACAGCAGAAAAGUGCACUCGUUGCAUUUACCGUACAUGAAUACCAUCACAUAUUUUGCACUGACAAUCUCAUGUCAGGGAUGAUUGGCAAGCACUGUUUGACUAGAAAAAAUUAUCUGGGAUGGUUGGACAUGACAUGCUGGUUCAGACAUGUGACAAGACAUUUCGGUUCAUUUAUUCUGCAGUUAAAGGUCUAAAAACAUUACACAGGGGAAACACGUAUAGAACACAAUUCUACAAAUAUGAACAUAUAUGUGGCACCCUAUCAGGAAGAGCAUUUGAAGUAUUUUAAUGAGUUAGAAGUUGUUAGCAAUCUGUUUAAUGCUUGCUUAGGUAGCACAGAAGACAUUUUCAACACCCUGUUUUCUUUGUGUCAAACAGUAGCCUAGCAAAAUAUACAUUUUAAAGUACACUGCAAGAAGCCACCCCAUCAUGACUCCUAAAUAAAAUACAGUGGCCUAGUAUACCAGUGUUCCAUAUCCAUCUUUUUAGUGUGUCAUUAUUGUGCUUAGUGAGAAAAUUAAGAUGAGGCCAUCUUACCCUUCACAUUAGUUACAUUGUUAGUUUACCAAAGUACAUGUAAAGACUAGGUUGCUGUGUCUGUACAGUGUUGAGGUUCAUGAACCACAGGAGGUGCUCACAUGCAUACAUUAUGCCUCACACAGACAGCAGCAAUAUGCCGGGCAAGGGCAAAAAGGUUACUUGAAAAUCUCAGUUUAUUCUAAAUUCAUAAAUUUUUUUGAGAGUCUAGCUUCCUUCUGUUUUGUGGUCAAGGGCCUAGAAUAGGUGAUUGUAGGCCACAUGGGGCCCUCUGGCUGUGUGUUUGAGACCACUGGUUUAGAGAAACAUAGUCUGCUACACAGCUUUUAUUUGCUGCUCAGCUGGGGCCUUAUUCCCAUCAAAGUAGUUGACCUUGAUUACUUUGUGUCUUUGCCUGUCAUUGGUCAUUACGGGAAGGCACCGUGACGACCAAUGACACACGAGACACAAAGUAAUUGAGGCCGAUUACUUUGACGAGAAUAGGGCCCCUGUUCCCUUCUAUCAGAGCUGUACACGUUACCAAAAAAUAGUAACUAAAUACGUUACCCGAUACUCACAAAUAAAAGGAACGUGUUCUCAUUACUUGCAAGUAACGACUUACUUCUAUAUGUUACAUUUGCAUACCAGACAGCAGGAAUACGAAAGCAUCGCCUAUCUAUAUCGCCUACAUAUGUUGUCUUGUAUGUUGUAUUGUCUCAUGUACACUGUCGACUUGCGCUUGCAUCAAAUAAGCCCAAGGCUAUGUACACCAUACGAAGAACAGUGUUGAAGGCGGUGAUCCGUAAGAGGGAUUUUCAGGAAAAAAGCCGAGUUCAUUCACAAGGUGGCUUUCACAUGAUCAUUGACACGAGUUCCCGAGUAGAGAGACAAAGCACUAAACGCCCCGAGCGCAGUGAAUACUUGACAGAAGGAACACAUUGAGUGUAUUGAAACGCUGUGGACACUAUAGAGCAAUGAGAAAGGCAUUGCCUUCUGGUAUCCUCUUUUGCUGGGGGUUUUUCCGCAUGCUGGAGCCGCAUGGAAUACCGCCAUGUGCGCCGGAAAAACCACAACUGGCUGUCGUGGUUGGUGACAGUGAGCAAAAAGAAGGAAUGAGUAACUUGCAGUAGCGCGUUACCAAUUUUUGUAACUAAGUAUGUUCCUAGUUAUCUUUUUUAGAAAGUAACCAAGUCAUUACUUAGUUACCAAAAACACUAACGCGUUACCGAGUAAUGCGUUACAUACAGCUUUGCCAUCUGUCCCGAAUUGUUCUGAGGUAACUGGUUUACUGGCUAUAGAAGGGGUCGCAGCCCAAUCUGCUGAAUCCCUUGUUGAACUCCACGAGCCGAGCCAAGGGAGAAAUGCGCGUGGUGGUGAUUCGGCACUAUUUUUUUCCUGGGAAAAAGUUUGCAUACAUCGAUACUUGUGCUAGUCGGGAAGGUAGUGCACCGAUCUCCAGCAGGUGUCUCAAACUGAAAAUAUUUUAGACGGCCUUCCGUGCUCCUUUAAAUAGCUCCCUGCUCUGUAACUCUUGCUUUAUUUUUUGGGAGGUUAUUAAACUUUAUCUCGACUGUCCGUUAUAUUGUGUACUGUGGAGAAGUUGACAACCAUAUGCUGGCAAGUAUGCAGCCCCGUGUUAGAGUGCCCAAUUCAAGAGUCUAAGUGUUCGUUCUUUGAGAUGGACACUCUAGUAUUGCAACUGUGGAUGCUCAGAUGGGAGAUGGUUGCCCGUGGAACAAAGGCAAAGCAAAAUAAAAGGGCACAAGCAAGCUGGUGUACACUAGAAAGUGGUGACAUUUUCUCAAAGAAAUACUACCACCCUCUGAAGGAAGUAGGAUGUGCUACCUUCAAAUCGGAAGUCACAAAAAUCAUGACAUUUACCUUUUGUGAAAGUGUAAAAGUGCUCUAAGUGUUUUUCCUGCAUGUUAUUUCCCUGCUUCAGAAAUUUGUGCUAUAAGUUACGUUUCGGCAAACAGAGAGAUAAAAUUGCAUUUCUGACAAGCAAUCUGACAACACAUUUUACUGCAAAGGCUUCCUAUUACAAUGUUCACAGAGCAUUUGUCUGAUACAAGGCUGACUCGAGGCACGUGCAGCUGGUGUGAUUGCACCGGGCCCUAUGCGUCGGACAAACAACGCCGAAUAAAGCGGAAAAGAUACCACUCCCAAAGCCCACCGCACUAUCCACUACACCAGAGAUCAGACAUGCAGUGCUCUUAAUUGAGGAAAAGUGGUGGUUGACGAGAAUCGGUUGACUUAUUAGAUGUUAUUUUGGAGUUGAGAAAAUAAGGAAAGGAAAAUAGCUUUGUGAGUUUGUAAAUAUGUACCUAAUGCUACCCAACAGUUUUGUACUCAUAUGAAAAAGUGUAAAAUAGGCCAUUAAAGGAGCUAGGAACUGUAUAAAGAGAGCCCACCGAGAGUGUCUGAUCCAAACGGCGAUUUCAACGUGUUGUCUGUGACACCUUUUGUAUAUAGGUGAAUUUGAGAGGUGCGUAUCUUCAGCACAUAGCACGCUCUUAGCCAACCGUUUUCCCGAAUGACAACGUUCUCGCCCAUGAUUUGUUGAUAACGAGAGGCGGAGCCUCUUGUGUAUCUAUUAUGCGCGGCUACAAAAUGGGCUACGCCUCCC
Molecule: long non-coding RNA, 4810 nt
Organism: Ornithodoros turicata
Lineage: Eukaryota; Metazoa; Arthropoda; Arachnida; Ixodida; Argasidae
Exons: 3
Source: RefSeq, a predicted model, not a curated record